RNAcentral lists this non-coding RNA (208 nucleotides) under Secundilactobacillus similis. RNAcentral's name for it is "Lactobacillus similis T-box sequence". It matches the Rfam family "T-box leader". From Rfam's summary of the family: Uncharged tRNA acts as the effector for transcription antitermination of genes in the T-box leader family. T-boxes are found upstream of many aminoacyl-tRNA synthetase genes and some amino acid biosynthetic genes usually in Gram-positive bacteria. Lineage: Bacteria; Bacillati; Bacillota; Bacilli; Lactobacillales; Lactobacillaceae. The record is from RNAcentral.
UUAAGGACUGAUGAGGACUAAUAGAUGUUUUACCCCGUUAAGAAAGCGAAUGGUUGCUGUGAAUUCGCCGGGAAAGACGUCGAACUCGUCUCGGAGUUUUUUUAACUGAAUCAAAGUAAGUUAAAACGCGAAUGCCGCGUUAUGGCAUAACAAAGCGCCCGUACUGUACGGGAAUGUUAGGUGGUACCGCGGAUAUUCCGUCCUACAA